Molecule: transfer RNA, 71 nt
Filed under: Marmota monax (woodchuck)
Lineage: Eukaryota; Metazoa; Chordata; Mammalia; Rodentia; Sciuridae
Description: tRNA.Ala
Source: RNAcentral
GGGGUUGUAGCUCAGUGGUGGAGCGCUUGCCACGCAGGCAUGAGACACUGGGUUCGAUCCUCAGAACCACA